GUGCCAGCAGCCGCGGUAAGACGAACCGUGCGAACGUUGUUCGGAAUCACUGGGCUUAAAGGGCGCGUAGGCGGGCUUGCAAGUCUGUGGUGAAAUCCUCCAGCCCAACUGGAGAACUGCCGUGGAUACUGCGAGUCUCGAGGGAGGUAGGGGCGUGCGGAACAGAUGGUGGAGCGGUGAAAUGCGUUGAUAUCAUCUGGAACUCCGGUGGCGAAGGCGGCACGCUGGACCUCAUCUGACGCUGAGGCGCGAAAGCUAGGGGAGCAAACGGGAUUAGAAACCCUCGUAGUCC
Molecule: ribosomal RNA, 292 nt
Filed under: uncultured bacterium
Lineage: Bacteria
Description: partial 16S ribosomal RNA
Rfam family: Bacterial small subunit ribosomal RNA
Source: RNAcentral